Molecule: ribosomal RNA, 883 nt
Filed under: Tomentella sp.
Lineage: Eukaryota; Fungi; Basidiomycota; Agaricomycetes; Thelephorales; Thelephoraceae
Description: partial large subunit ribosomal RNA
Rfam family: Eukaryotic large subunit ribosomal RNA
Source: RNAcentral
GGAUUCCCCUAGUAACUGCGAGUGAAGCGGGAAGAGCUCAAAUUUAAAAUCUGGUGUGCCCCAUGGUCGCCCGAGUUGUAGUCUGGAGAAGCGUUUUCCGUAUUGGCCGUGUAUAAGUCCCUUGGAACAGGGCGUCAUAGAGGGUGAGAAUCCCGUCUUUGACACGGACUAUCAAUGCUAUGUGAUGCGCUCUCAAAGAGUCGAGUUGUUUGGGAAUGCAGCUCAAAAUGGGUGGUAAAUUCCAUCUAAAGCUAAAUAUAGGCGAGAGACCGAUAGCGAACAAGUACCGUGAGGGAAAGAUGAAAAGCACUUUGGAAAGAGAGUUAAACAGUACGUGAAAUUGCUGAAAGGGAAACGCUUGAAGUCAGUCACAUCUGCCGGGACUCAGCCUUGCUUCUGCUUGGUGUACUUUCUGGUUUGAUGGGCCAACAUCAAUUUUGACCGUUGGAGAAAGGCUUUGGGAAUGUGGCACCUUUGGGUGUGUUAUAGCCCUUUGUUGUAUACAGCGGUUGGGAUUGAGGACUGCAGCACGCCUUCAUGGCCGGGGUUCGCCUACGUACGUGCUUAGGAUGUUGGCAUAAUGGCUUUAAGCGACCCGUCUUGAAACACGGACCAAGGAGUCCAACAUGCCUGCGAGUGUUUGGGUGGAAAACCCAUGCGCGUAAUGAAAGUGAUAGCUGAGAUCCUCUCAUCAGGAGCAUCAGCGCCUGGACUUGAUCUACGGAGACGGUUCUACGGUAGAGCAUGUAUGUUGGGACCCGAAAGAUGGUGAACUAUGCCUGAAUAGGGUGAAGCCAGAGGAAACUCUGGUGGAGGCUCGUAGCGAUUCUGACGUGCAAAUCGAUCGUCAAAUUUGGGUAUAGGGGCGAAAGACUAAUCGAAC